GUCUACGGCCAUACCACCCUGAACACACCCGAUCUCGUCUGAUCUCGGAAGCUAAGCAGGGUCGGGCCUGGUUAGUACUUGGAUGGGAGAAUCGCCCUCCCCUGGGUGGAUUCCAGAGGAACUACUUGUUCUGAGAUG
This 138-nucleotide ribosomal RNA is filed under the name Callithrix jacchus (white-tufted-ear marmoset). The record is from RNAcentral. Lineage: Eukaryota; Metazoa; Chordata; Mammalia; Primates; Cebidae.